This 255-nucleotide ribosomal RNA is filed under the name Listeria monocytogenes. RNAcentral's name for it is "partial 23S ribosomal RNA". It matches the Rfam family "Bacterial large subunit ribosomal RNA", at positions 925 to 1178 of the family's 2925-position model. The record is from RNAcentral. Lineage: Bacteria; Bacillati; Bacillota; Bacilli; Caryophanales; Listeriaceae.
GCCCUUCUCGGGUUACCGAAUUCAGAUAAACUCCGAAUGCCAUGUACUUAUACUCGGGAGUCAGACUGCGAGUGAUAAGAUCCGUAGUCGAAAGGGAAACAGCCCAGACCACCAGUUAAGGUCCCCACAUAUAUGUUAAGUGGAAAAGGAUGUGGGGUUGCUUAGACAACCAGGAUGUUGGCUUAGAAGCAGCCACCAUUGAAAGAGUGCGUAAUAGCUCACUGGUCGAGUGACCCCGCGCCGAAAAUGUACCGG